AUGGAUUUUCUUGAACCAAUGGUAGCCUUAGACGAGACACAUUAUCAAGACGGUUACAAAGAUGGUUAUGAUGAUGGCAAGGUAUCUGGAAAGGAAGAAGGAAGGCAGGUCGGUUUAAAGAUGGGUUUCCAGGUAGGUGAAGAGCUGGGAUUCUAUCAGGGCUGCUUGGAUGUGUGGAUGUCAAUAAUUCGCCUUGAUCAAGGUGCAUUCUCAGCUCGGGUCAGGAAAUACAUGGAGCUUCUAGUUUAUACAUGA
RNAcentral lists this ribosomal RNA (255 nucleotides) under Triticum aestivum (bread wheat). RNAcentral's name for it is "partial small subunit ribosomal RNA". The record is from RNAcentral. Lineage: Eukaryota; Viridiplantae; Streptophyta; Magnoliopsida; Poales; Poaceae.